AAGUCGUAACAAGGUUUCCGUAGGUGAACCUGCGGAAGGAUCAUUAAUGAAAUUCUGACUGAGGCUGUAGCUGGUCCCUAGCCGGACCUGUGCACGUCUCUUUCAAAAUCCACAAACACCUGUGCACCUUUGCGUGAGUCCACUGGGGUUGUACCCGAGGGGGCUUGCGUCCUUUUCACAAACUCUUGUAUGUCUUUAAGAAUGUCUAUCUUGAUGUAAUAAAACGCAUCUAAUACAACUUUCAACAACGGAUCUCUUGGCUCUC
This 265-nucleotide unclassified non-coding RNA is filed under the name Xylobolus subpileatus. Its description in RNAcentral is "partial internal transcribed spacer region". The stretch from base 1 to 46 matches the Rfam family "Eukaryotic small subunit ribosomal RNA", at positions 1786 to 1831 of the family's 1831-position model. The record is from RNAcentral. Lineage: Eukaryota; Fungi; Basidiomycota; Agaricomycetes; Russulales; Stereaceae.